RNAcentral lists this ribosomal RNA (274 nucleotides) under uncultured bacterium. RNAcentral's name for it is "partial 16S ribosomal RNA". It matches the Rfam family "Bacterial small subunit ribosomal RNA", at positions 523 to 796 of the family's 1533-position model. The record is from RNAcentral.
AUACGGAGGAUGCGAGCGUUAUCCGGAUUCAUUGGGUUUAAAGGGUGCGUAGGCGGAAGGAUAAGUCAGGGGUGAAAGUUUGCCGCUCAACGGUAAAAUUGCCUUUGAUACUGUUUUUCUUGAGUGAAGGCGAGGUAUGCGGAAUGAGUAGUGUAGCGGUGAAAUGCUUAGAUAUUACUCAGAACACCGAUUGCGAAGGCAGCAUACUAGAGUUUAACUGACGCUGAUGCACGAAAGCGUGGGUAGCGAACAGAAUUAGAAACCCGUGUAGUCC